RNAcentral lists this long non-coding RNA (9076 nucleotides) under Sorghum bicolor (sorghum). RNAcentral describes it as "long non-coding RNA (SBIC_LNC003456)". The record is from RNAcentral. Lineage: Eukaryota; Viridiplantae; Streptophyta; Magnoliopsida; Poales; Poaceae.
UCGGGACAGUUCCCAUCGUCGUCUUUGGACGUGUCAAGUGGUGUAACAAUCACUGGCGGUAUUUGCUUACUAGUACUAGUAUAAUGCCCGUGCUAACGCUACGAUUCUUUAUAGGAAAUGCUUUUAAAAGAACCCAUUUGUUUCUGCAGAGUUUGUCGUUUACACUAUUUUUAUAAUUCCAGACAUAUUUACAUCCUCCCUAACUCAUUAACGAAAUAUUGGAUAUCUUCAGAGAUGUUGUCAUAACAUUAAUUUGCACGACACGCCUGCUAUAGGAAGAAGACUUCCCUUACAUUGCCUCACUAACGGUACCCAACCACUCAUAAAAGUCUGAAAGUUUUGAGCACAAACAUCAUAUCAGAGUCAAGUAACAUGAAUACCAUGUUAGACAACAUGUGUGUAUAUUUUUAAUGCAUAAAAAACAAAGAUCAAUAUAGAACAAAAUCUUGAAAUAAUGGCUUCAGUAUACAGACCUUCAGUCACCAGUUUAGGACGUCUCUGUAAACUAUAUUCUUUGUGCUCUUCCCUGUGGGAUCCAAGUCCUCUUUUGGUUUUGCGAGAAUUCUUGUUGAUGAUCUUGACACCCCUCUUGAUAAACCAAUAUAAAGUUGUCCGUGUGAGAACACGGGUUCUGGAAGAUAGAUUCCAACGUUAGGGAUGGUCUGUCCCUGUGAUUUAUUUAUUGUCAUGGCGAAACUCAACCUCAUAGGGAAUUGUUUUCUCUUGAACUUGAAAGGAAGAGAAAUAUCAUCCGAGGGAGACAAUGGUAGCCUUGGUAUAAAAACUCUCUUCCCUAUAUGCUGCCCACCAGUGAUCUCAACAUCAAUUGCAUUGUCUUGCAAUGCUCUGACCAUGAGCCUUGUGCCAUUGCACAAGCCAUUGUUGGGAUCAAGAUUACGAAGAAGAAUCACAGGACAGUUGGUUUUUAGCUUCAGCUCAUGCGGGGGGGAGACCAUUUGGAGUUAUUGAGUUCAAAAAAUCAAUAGGAAAAGUGAUUACUUGUGUCAUCAACAACGGUGUCAAAGCUGUGGUAAACCUUUUCCUCACCUGGAAACCUCUCAAUCAUGAUUGUAUUUAGCUUAUCAACAUGUUCAUUUUUAGUCGAUAGAAUAGCUCGUGAGCUCAUAUAGGCGGCUGAUGUUGCAUGUUCUUCGAGUGAUGGGAAAAUAUUAUCAAUUAGUUUGUUGACUGCCACCUCAUUGUCAGUAUAUCCAAUCACAAGCUCAUCAGGCAGUCGAACAUAAUCAUCUCCAAUUGUUUCCUCGGUUCCAUUGCCAAUUCGUAGCAGGUACUCGGAACACCAAGGGUCUGAGUGUGCCCUCAUGUUUUGAGACAAUCUUGUCUUCCUUAUAUUUGGCCACAAAUAGGAUCUUUGCAGACAUGUAUUAGUUACUUGUGCUCUUGACCCACGUGGCACUACAGGAAGGACCUGUCUGAAGUCUCCCCCAAAUACCAUGACUUUUCCUCCAAAUGGCAAAUCACACUCCAUGACAUCCUGUAGGGACCUAUCGAGACACUCGACGCACUGACGCUUGGUCAUGGCAACUUCAUCCCAGAUAAUCAAGGAUGCCCUACGAAGUAAUUCUGCAGUGGGACCUUGCUUUGAAAAGGUGCAAUUCUUGGUGUCAUCAAUUUUAAUUGGAAUUUUAAACCUCGAGUGUGCAGUGCGUCCUCCAGGCAAUAUUGAUGCUGCAAUACCUGAUGUUGCUGUUGCGAUAGCUAUUAAUCCUUUGGACCGCACUCUAGCAAGAAGUGCCUUAUAUAGAAAUGUCUUGCCCGUGCCUCCUGGACCAUCCACAAAAAAAACUUGACUCUUGUUGGAGAAGACAUGCUCAAUGAUUUCAUCAAACCCUUCUUUCUGCUCCUUGUUAAGAGAAUAAAAAAUGUCCAAGUGUUCUUGGGGUACGAAGACAUUUUGUUCCUCUCUAACCUCUCUCAUCAUGUCAAUGGAGCCUGAACCAACAUCAGUAAUAGGUGGCAGACCAUAUUUUUCUAUUUCUUUAUCAUCUUUACCCAUGGAGUGAAGCAUAUCUUGUAUGUCCCUUAGCACCAUUUGCUCCACCGCUGAACUGUUGUUGAUGUCACGGCUAAAGUCCUCGCCUAGAGCGUCCUUAUGCUUGUCCCAUAGACCACGUAUGUUAGUGGACUCGCAGAACACAAUAAUUGUAGCAAACAACCUCCGCAAGGCACAUGGCAUCUGGAAAGUGGUGGCCUCACUAAGGCAGUCAUCAAUAAGAGUGUCAGUCUCAAUAAGACCUCUUUUCUCACAUGCUUCCCUAAAAGUAGCGUAAGUUACACCCGCCAUUGUUCUCAAAUCCUCAAAUGAUGUUGCACCUCUCACAUGAUUUAGUAGAACUCUUAGGAAGUACCUCUCCCCUUCGGCAGGGUUAGCAUAGACAAUCCGUCCUAUUUGUGCUGACGCUUGUUUCCUUCCUUGCCAUAAUUUUUUCCCUGAGAUCCACCGAUAGUGUUCUGGAAACUCUCUAUACAAUAUUUUCCUUGCUGCCCGUUCUUCAUGGUUUUUACUAAAGUACUCUGUUAGUGUUGUUCUAUUUGAACAUGGGCACCUCACAACAUCUUCCAGGUUGUCAUCAUCAUUGUACGUCACGGACUGCAUAUCAGGCAAAUGUAGCUGGAGCUGCAACACUGAGGGAUAAACUCCAAACAUUGGAAAUCUAAAUAUCCUGUACACAGCUUCAGGUGGAGUUAUGUACCUAGCAUUCCUAUAUUGUUUUAUCUCAUUGAUGACGCCAUCAUCUGUUUCAUUUUGGUCUGCAUUUACUGAGAAUGAUGCUUGGUCGUGGCCUUUAUAUACAUACUUAAAUAGAUACUUCACUGCUUUAAUGCUUGAGCAUGCCUCAACAUUUAUGUGACAAUUGUAUCUAAAGAGCAGACCAGGAUUGUACGGUACCACCCAUCUGUUAUCUAAUUCAGCUUUCCUAAUCUUGACUCGACGUCCAUCAUACCUUCUCCUAUAGGUUGGAUAGGAGUCAUUUCCUUGUUUAGUUGCCUCGUUGAACUUUCGAGGGAACUGAAAGCAGCACUGUCCAUUCACCAUGCAUGGGCAAUACUUGUUUAGAUUGCCACAUGGUCCAUGUAGCAUAUGGCUUAUAACCAGAUCAUGCAACUCUGGGAAUUUGUCCUUGUCUGGUAUCUCUGCUGAAAUAACUCGAUCAUAUGCAUCUGGGGUUGUCAAUUUACUCCCUGACUUCAUGAUCAGUAGAAAAUGCUCAUGUGGUAGACCCCUUUUUUGGAACUCGGUAACAUGGACGUACGCAGCAACCUCACCAAAAUACUUCCUCUUGAUGAGAAGGUCCUUAAGAUCUCGCAACUUUGCCCUGUACACUCUUGCAACCAGUUCUGGCCUAUCUUGUGGUUCCUGUCCUGGCUCAAGAUUACUCGUGAUCUCUUCCCAGUAUGGAUUGCAUGUCAUGGUGAUGAAGCAAUUAGGCUUGCCAAAACGCUGCACAAUAGCCAUAGCAUUAAGGAAUCUUUGUUGCAUGUCUCGAUCACAUCCUGGGAAUGAUCUUGGUAGCACAAUUCUUUUGCCAACCUUAGAACCCCGCGUCUCUCCAACUGAGAUAACAUCAACCAGUCCCUAUAUAAGCAUGCGUCAUAUAUUAUGAUUGGUAGAAACAAGACUAAAAUUUUCAUAUUAAACAAAUCAAGAAGCAUAAACAAUUAGGUAGAAUUGGCUACCCGGUAUAGCUCUGCCCGUAUUAGUUUUUGGUUCUCGGGUUUCGAGUACCAAUCUAGCCUCAUAGACUCAAUCUUUACGUACAUAUCCACGGCCCACUGCUGAAAAAGACGUCCUCCAAACAAUAUGAUGUUGAAAAUUCCCCGUCUAACUUGCAUCUUGAAGCAGUAAUAUUCUCUUGCAGUUACAAAUUUUUGUGCUCCAUCUGCAACUCCACCUAGCACAUCACCUCCUUGUACGUCAUUAUCACCUUCUUCCACCUGAUUGUCGUCAUUAUUAUCAACUGCACGAUAGAUAGAAUGUUACAUUAGGCUAUUAUAGCAUUAGUUUAGUAGUACCAAUAUUAUAGCAUAGAAUAUUAUAUAUAUUUACAAUAUACCUUGAUAACCACCACUAGAUGGUAGGGUUGCAGAUGGUGGGUUGGCAUUAUUAGUAGAAGACAUGGCUGCAGAUGGUGGAGUGAAUGGAGCAUCACUGUACGGCAUAAACUUGUUCCAUCCUGUUUCUCCUCGUGGACUAUACAUAGGAUAACCUAAUGGGUCAUAACAACCAUGCCAUGCUUUGAUAUACUGCCGACGCUGAUCAGUCUUUCCAAAUACAAUCACACUCCUAUCAAAACAUCUUUGUGGAUCAUUCCCGUCCAUCCAGAUAGCAGCCACCUGGGAUGUUGUUGGUGCAUUGUACCUUCUUUGGUCAGGUGUGACAUUUGUAUUGAGUUCAACCCGAUAGUCAUCCAAAUCUGGGAAUUCACCAUUUCUCCUAAAAGUGUGAACGUAUGGGUUUUCCUGUAAAACUGUAAGAAUUUUUCUGAUGAUGUUGAUAUCAAGAUCAGGGGACCUUUUGACUCUCUUUGACAAGUCUGCAUCCUCUGUAUCAUAAAAGUAGAGUUGUAGGUGCCGAGCGUUGUCACCACCUGGCACCAAGUGGUCAAGACGGUGGUACAAGCCACCAUGAAUUCAAAAUGUAUAAGUACCAGUUCUUUUGGGACUGUUAAAUUCACGAUCAAUGGUGACCCCUAGACUGGUAAAGGAGAAAUGCAAGUUGAUAUAACGAAUAUGUUUCCUAAAAUAUUUUGCAUCUGCGUCCACCUGACUUGUGAAUAAACUUUUUAGCUCUUCAGGAACCUCUGGUAUAACUAUUUGUACCUUUCCUUUUCUACAACAAAACCCCGGUGUCUCAUACUAAAACCUCAUCGCUCCACAGUAACUACAGUUAGGAACAGGCCUCAAUUUAUGUCUCUCCAGCAGAUUCUGGUAGAUAAAGUCAUAUGGAUCCGCAUCCGACACAUUAGUUCUAGCUGGAUUCUCUAGCACCACACGAUAUGACUCAUAUUGACAACCUGCUUAGACAUGGCAAUGAUCAUUUUAAUUAAACUCUACAAAAAUAAAUUUAACAUCUGCACAAUAAAUAAACAUGUUGCAUGAAAUGAAGCUUUACCUUGCGGGGGUCGUUGAAUGACUCCAUCAUCAUCAUUAUCAUUUUCAUCAAUUUGCAAUCUAUGGCCAGUGUCCAUGGCAUCUUCAUCACCGUCCCAACAAUCAUGUGUCGGUUCAAAGAGUUCACGAUCAAUUUCAUCUUCAUUGUCUUGGACAUGUACACGGGUUCCGUGUAGUUCAGAUAAAUGUGUUUCUGCAUUUUUUAUAUUCAGUAGUAAGUAUUUUAUAUUUAUGAAGUUAGUUUUUUGGCAAUUAAAAUAGACAAAAAAGGAUGUGGUGGAUGUGCUAACCUGGCUCAUUCGGAGUGUGUAAUGUUCACGAAAGAUACGUACGUGGGCCUCUCCGAACUGGAACAUAACUAUCAUUUGUGUGUAGCCAAUCUGCGCGAUCCCUAGUCUCAUCAUUUUCCAUUAUUGUUGACAAUCCAGUUCCCAAAUUCACACCUUCACAUAUCAUGAAUAUUAGUAGAGGUUCGUGAUAUACAACGUGAUGGGUGAAUAUAUGAAGCGAUGGUUGAAAUGCAUCAUUAAGGGAUAAGGGAUCAUAACAUUUUACCUGUGGGCAAGGACGGCUCGACAAUUAUUAUGUCACUGUCUUGGUUGGCAAUAGACGUGGUGCUAUUAUUUUGCAAUUCAACCUUCUUUCGUGCUCGAUCUUGACGUUGGUACUCAGCAUUCCUCCUUCUCUUCUCUUCUAACUGCUCGUUUGUCAUCUCAGCUCUUCUCUUUCGUUGCUGCGCGUUCCUUCUGUCCAUCGUUGUGUUACCAAUAUCUGUGUAGGGUACCAUUUGUGAGGUCAGUCAUUAUUGUGCAGAGAUUACACCAAAUAUUAAAAAAUAGAUAAGACAGAUGAAGUUUAUAUAUUUGAUAGUUACCGCUGUCCAAAGGCAGACUACUUUCUAUCGUGGUUCCUAUGAGCAGGCCACUAUGGCUAUGAUUAACAUCUGUAGUUGGUUCAAUAUUAUCCUCGUUCACUAUAAUUGGUGAAUUUUGGUCCACCCCAAAACGAUGAGUACCUGCAUUAUAUUUGUUACAGUAAAGAUAAAAAUAAGGUGGCAUUUUCACAUUAUGUAGCUGAUAUUUACCGUUGGCCACUUUUUCUGCAGUUGGUUGGAUAUUUUCCUUGUUCAAAAGAAGUGGAAAGUUUUGGUCCAUUGUAACAUGAUUAGUACCUGCCUCAUAGUGAUUAGUUCCGGUCAUGAUGAUUUGACUAUAUAAAUUCUGACUAAAAAUAUAAAUUGUACCAGGUGUAGUGAAAGAACAAAUAGCACUACUGUUUUGGAAUUCUGCCUUCUUCCUUUCUCGAUAACGACGCUGGUACUCACGUUGUUUUCUUCUCGCCUCCUCCCUUUGUUCGUCGGACCUCUCUGCUCGACGAACUGUUGCCGCAAGUUUUGUUCUUCCCUCGUCCAUCGGGCGUCAUCUAUAUAUAGUAGAAAAUAAAUAUAAGACACCCCUAAAGUAUUAUACGUAUACUCAGUUUGAAAUCAUACCUGUGAUGUUAGUGAUGUCACUUAGUGCAUUGGGCGUAUCUCUUGGCGUAGACAUCGAGUUGGUGAUGAGGCAGGAACUUUGUUUUUCUGAAGUAUCGUUGAUAUUGAUCUAUUCAGAAAUUACCACUGAAACAACACAAGCCAAUUAGCUACAGGGUCCUAGUGCAUGCAGAUUUGAUUAAUACCAUAGUUUCUUCAGUAUUUAAAAAAAAAACCAGUGAACUCGCGACAAAUUUUCAUGUUACUUAUUCUCAGCUAUACUAAUAUCCAUUCAUCUACGGUUUACAGAGUAUCACUGAAUAACCUGGGAAGACAGGGACAAUAGCUAUCUAGCCCAAGGAGCUGAUUCAUUCAAACAGUUUGCCUAUUAGUAGAGAUAAUGCAGAAAAUGAUUAACCAUUUGUUUGCGCUCAGUGGGUAAUGCUAACUUGUGCAAAUUUACCUAAAACAUUUGUUUUAUGAAGCGAAAAUCAUUCGAUAUGGAGAGUUAGAAAGUUUCAAUUGCAAGAAAUUUGUUUCCUGCAGCAAGACACUGUAAUUUUUCAAGGUAUUUUUUUUCAAUCAAAUAAAACAGUGACCAUGUAAUAAUGUACUGUUAUUACUUGCAUCACUAUUUUAUAUAAAUAAAUCGUCCAUGCAUCCGUACUUUAAAUAAUUAUACAAGCCUAUACAAACUGUAGAGGUGGAAACAAAUGAAAGAUACGUACGGGCAAAGUUAUUUUUGUCGAGAGCAGACAAUUUCUUCUUCCUCUAGAUGGCAUUCAAAGGUUAGCAGCUUUCAUCUAUAGCAGAUUAUUAGGGCAAGGGGCAGCGAUUACAGAAGGAAGUCAUGGCAUAAUCGAGGUACGGCAGCUGCACGAGCUCAGGCGUGCAUCCUCACGAGGCUAAUGAGCAAUUUUUUUUAGAUGAAUGACAUAUUUUAUAAUUUCACAGAAUAAAUAUACAAUAGAUGAUUGUAUAGCUACUAAUACACUUUUAUUAGUUACUGCAGAAAUAUGUCAUAUUCAGCUACAUAUAGGUUGGGUGUAUACAUGUAUAUAUCAAGGAAGCCAAUGACAAUUGGGUGUGCCUCUCUAUGUGCUACAGGACCAUGCACGUUGAGCAAUUGUAUACAUGUAUAUAGCAAGGAAGCCAAUGACAAUUGUAUGUGCACUCGUAUACGUCUGGACAUGAAUGGAGCAAUGAACGCCCGUCGGACAGGUUACACACAUGCAGCAGGGGCAAGCGAAUAAAACAUAGAUGGAGCUAUAGAUCGAUGAACAUAUAUAUACAUAUACAUGGAUGUAUAUCUACCUGCGCAGGGCUGGCAGCCGCCGAUCUGGCGGUCCGGCCUCCUGCCUGCCUCCGCGUCGUCGUGGACCACGUAGACGGCGGCGGCGCCGGCGUCACGUCGAGCGAGCACAAGGGCACGAGGACGUGGAUGUUGUAGUAGUUGCUCUCCACGACCUUCUCCAGUUCCCACGACCUUCUCCAGUUCUCCUUGAAGGCGAUCACGGUGGAGACGGCAGCGCCAGCACCGUGCCGAGGUCUCCGACUCGACGUGCCUCCCGAGCACAAGGAGAUUCUUCUUGGUGAACUGGAACGUGGCGACCACGACUUCAAGGUGGCGACGGAGGUCCCAGCCGUCGAGGCGCUCGUUGUCGGCAGUUUGUACCGAGCACUCGGUGGUCGCGCAAGAACGCCUCACGCACGGAGCCCAGCGACGUCACGCACGAAGCCGCGGUCGAACAGCAGGAGUUCCUCCAGGCACGGGUGUAGGCGUCGUAGAGCCGGCGGCUAGGGUAGGCGGGCACAUCGGCAACAAAUGACGCCCUAUUGGGUCUUGCAUGGAAUUGUUCUCCACACGGAUGUAAUAUCCUUUCAUCUAUUGCGCCUGAGUGGUAAUCAACGUUGGUUAUUUCCUUGUUGUUCCUACAUGCAAUCUCCUUCCAUCUAUUGCGUCUGAUGGACAUCUUCCAUCUAUUGCAUUUGCAUGCAAUCUUGGACGCUGGGGAUGUCAUUGCCGGUGAUUACCUUCCUUUGAUUUGCCGGUGAUUGAUGAGGCGAAAUUUUUGUGGAUUAGAAAAGGGCGUGGGUGAGGGAGAGUGGGAAGCCUCAUCAAACUUUUAAUCUCAGCCGUUGCGUUGCAUCUGUAGUAAGUAGGCUAAGAGUCGUUGAUUUUGAAGAAAGGAUUUGGCUUGGAGAAAUUUUCAAUUAUAGUAGAGACUAGCCCUAGCCCAACUUACGCACUGACAGUGUGGCGCUUAUGCGCGAUCCCGGACCCUUAUUAAUCAAAUGCACCCGCACGUGAGAGAGAUGAGAGAUCUCACCAUCAGAUUGAAUAUAUAUAGACUAUUUUUUGAGUGAGGGAGGACAGGCAUAAUCACGCAACAAAUCUCAAUUUUUUUAUCUCACAAUCCCUGCUAGAUAAUUGGUUUCCGCUCCUGCACUGAUUCAGAUCAACGAGUUAAC